GUGCCAGCAGCCGCGGUAAUACGGAGGGGGCUAGCGUUGUUCGGAAUUACUGGGCGUAAAGCGCACGUAGGCGGAUCAGAAAGUUGGGGGUGAAAUCCCGGGGCUCAACCUCGGAACUGCCUUCAAAACUAUUGGUCUUGAGUUCGAGAGAGGUGAGUGGAAUUCCGAGUGUAGAGGUGAAAUUCGUAGAUAUUCGGAGGAACACCAGUGGCGAAGGCGGCUCACUGGCUCGAUACUGACGCUGAGGUGCGAAAGCGUGGGGAGCAAACAGGAUUAGAUA
RNAcentral lists this ribosomal RNA (280 nucleotides) under uncultured Rhodobacterales bacterium. Its description in RNAcentral is "partial 16S ribosomal RNA". It matches the Rfam family "Bacterial small subunit ribosomal RNA", at positions 505 to 784 of the family's 1533-position model. Lineage: Bacteria; Pseudomonadati; Pseudomonadota; Alphaproteobacteria; Rhodobacterales. The record is from RNAcentral.